RNAcentral lists this ribosomal RNA (332 nucleotides) under uncultured Glomeromycotina. RNAcentral describes it as "eukaryotic LSU rRNA". Lineage: Eukaryota; Fungi; Glomeromycota. The record is from RNAcentral.
CAGUCAUACCAACGGGAAAUCAACCUUUUGAGCUUGGUUUCGUGGGUUUUGAAGAGUUUCAAAGCCUUCGGAUUCGCGAGAUUGGGAUCUCUUGGUGUACUUUUUCGUACGGUUAGUCAACAUCGGUUUUGAAUGUCAUAAAAUGACUGGAGGAAUGUAGCUUCGAUCUCGUAUUGAAGUGUUAUAGCCUUUGGUAGAUGUGAUGUUUGAGACCGAGGAUUGCAACGGAUACCCUUUAGGGCUAUUCGUCUGAUCUCUGAUACGUUGCCCUGAUGUUGAAAGCUUGCUUAUGAUGUUAGGGUAUUACGGUCAAAAGGUUAGAACGAAUUACA